Molecule: ribosomal RNA, 424 nt
Filed under: uncultured bacterium
Lineage: Bacteria
Description: partial 16S ribosomal RNA
Rfam family: Bacterial small subunit ribosomal RNA
Source: RNAcentral
AAUACUGGACAAUGGGCGGAAGCCUGAUCCAGCCAUGCCGCGUGUGUGCAGAAGGUCUUCGGAUUGUAAAGCACUUUAAUUUGGGAGGAAGGGUUUACACCUAAUACGAGUGAACUUUGCCGUUACCAAAAGAAUAAGCACCGGCUCACUUCGUGCCAGCAGCCGCGGUAAUACGAAAGGUGCAAGCGUUAAUCGGAAUUACUGGGAGUAAAGCGCGCGUAGGUGGUUCGUUAAGUUGGAAGUGAAAGCCCCGGGCUCAACCUGGGAAUUGCUUUCAAAACUGGCGAGCUAGAGUACGGUAGAGGGUGGUGGAAUUUCCUGUGUAGCGGUGAAAUGCGUAGAUAUAGGAAGGAACAUCAGUGGCGAAGGCGACCACCUGGACUGAUACUGACACUGAGGUGCGAAAGCGUAGGGAGCAAACAGG